Molecule: small nuclear RNA, 128 nt
Organism: Tachyglossus aculeatus (Australian echidna)
Lineage: Eukaryota; Metazoa; Chordata; Mammalia; Monotremata; Tachyglossidae
Source: RefSeq, a predicted model, not a curated record
GUGUUGAAUGAAAGGAGAGAAGGUUAGCACUCCCCUUGAGAAGGAUGGAAGAGGUAUUAGGGGUGUUCACAACACAUACACGUUUAAGGCAUUGCCCUCCACUUCAUGGUAUUCAUUUAAUCGUAUUU